GGAAGUUUGAUCGUAAGAGGCUCCAGUGAUUUUCCUUCCCACCUCUCCCCUCCCUAAUUUCUCUGCCUCGACACUCGCUCUGGAACAGAGCGAACUCAAAAAGCCCAUCGGCGCAGGGCGCGCUUCGCAGCCAAGCCCUGCCACUCUCCAGAGACUGUGAGGUGAUUCUCCUUCGUCACUGCUUGGACCAGGAACCACAGCCCUGCAGUGGUUGGCAGUUUUCCUCAACUUUGCGAGAGAGAGAGAGAGAUUGUGUUGGAAUGAAACCUUGCUCUGCGUACAGCCUGCUUGAGAUGCAGCAUUGAAAGCGAGCUGCAUGAGAAUUCUACAGAGUAAAACCUAAUUCUGUGCUGAAGAGGAACACUGUGAACACCCAGCAUAAAAUAGAAGAUGUUCUGUUCUCUACUGCACUGUCUUGAGCCAAACUUGGGAUCUAAAAGCCAAGCGAGGUUCUUUCAUCACCAGUCAUAAAGAUGCUGUAAGUCAGAUUGUCCCCUCAGGCUAUAUUUUGACAAUGUAGUAAAUUGAGCUUUGGGAACUUUCUACCAGAUCGAGAACUCUGUCACCUCAAAAUGCAAAGCACGGAUCCAUUAUAAAUUCUCUGAUGCAGUUUUAAAAAUAUAUUUUGAUGUGUUGACUUCUAGCAGCAAGCUCUGUGCCUUAUCUGAUACCUUUUGUUCCUUGCUGCUAGCGUUAACACAUAGAAGGGCUGGCAGUAAUGGCAUCUUGUGCCCUCACAUGAUCCAGGUG
Molecule: long non-coding RNA, 750 nt
Filed under: Zonotrichia albicollis (white-throated sparrow)
Lineage: Eukaryota; Metazoa; Chordata; Aves; Passeriformes; Passerellidae
Description: lncRNA (ENSZALG00000018102.1)
Source: RNAcentral